This 169-nucleotide ribosomal RNA is filed under the name uncultured bacterium. RNAcentral's name for it is "partial 16S ribosomal RNA". It matches the Rfam family "Bacterial small subunit ribosomal RNA", at positions 338 to 524 of the family's 1533-position model. The record is from RNAcentral.
CCUACGGGAGGCAGCAGUAGGGAAUCUUGCGCAAUGGGCGAAAGCCUGACGCAGCCAUGCCGCGUGAAUGAUGAAGGUCUUAGGAUUGUAAAAUUCUUUCACCGGGGAAGAUAAUGACGGUACCCGGAGAAGAAGCUCCGGCUAACUUCGUGCCAGCAGCCGCGGUAAU